This 2513-nucleotide long non-coding RNA is filed under the name Volvox carteri. RNAcentral describes it as "long non-coding RNA (VCAR_LNC002493)". The record is from RNAcentral. Lineage: Eukaryota; Viridiplantae; Chlorophyta; Chlorophyceae; Chlamydomonadales; Volvocaceae.
GUUGGGCGUAAGGCCCAGUGCUGCCCGUGUCCUCAGGGCAGUAAUUCAUUGCGCGCAUUGCACUAAUAAGAUUAUCUUGAAUUUGUUGUUUAGCGCGUAUGCAUUGCUUAUACUCACGCUGAUCCUCCAAUGACGACAGUGUAAGGUAAAGCCUAAUGAAUUAGCAUCUUCAUAACAAGAAUCUGUCUUUCUUCCUCUAUAAUGGCGCAGCAUUCAUUCGCAGGCAAGCAGGGGAAAGCAGGAAAAGGGGGACUAGACGGCACCGGCAGUAAGUGGCCAUCAUGCAGGUGCAUACACUGACAUUAUGCCUUGUCAUUUUACAUUCCAAGGUCACGAGCAGGAGAAUCGCAAGGAUUAGGACAAGCGCAAGGAUGGUGGUAAGGAUAUGAACAAGAGUCGGGCUCAAACGGGACGUGGCAUGCCACGUAGCGGCCGUUCGGAGGUAUGAAGCCUCUGGUUGCAAGACCAUGGCUAUUAACAAAAUGCUUUUUAUUGCCUUAUUUCGAGGCACGUUAUGCCGGUGUCACACCUACAGCCGUCAUUGUACGUAACAUGCUCACAACUAUGUGUUCCUGCCUAAACAAUGAUUUGUUGUGAUCCUUUCAUAUGCAGAUAUAUGUCGUCGUUCGUGAAGAUGACAUCAGCGGAGGCGAGGAUUGAGCGCUUUAAUAAGAAGACAAUAGUGGCUGUAUUGUGGUACAUUUACAUGCGCUUAACAUUUGUGUGUCCAUUUUUUCUGACGUUAGACUGUUGGACCCUUUUCCAUGGUAAGAGUUGCUGGCUGAGUUGCAUCGGUCAUGUUAGGAUUUGCUAUGAAUGCGUACCUGUCAUUCAGGGAUAGUUCAAAUGUAUGAAGAAAGCAGUGAGUGCUGUGGUUCACAGCUGUGAACCUGCAGGUCAUGUGCAACGGCGGUGCACUUUGCACAUUGUACAGCUCGUGUACUGCUAUUGUAAAGCUUUUGUAUUGCACGGUUGGCCGUACAGUUCGCAGUCCCGCACGCAAGUCGCAGUCACUCGCGUAAAUUCAAAUGGUAGCACAUGCAUUCGCAGGAUUCGCAUCGCGUAUGCCAUUCGCUAAUCCCUUGCGUUUGGCGAUUUAGGGUCGCGUAAAACUCGCGAAUAUCAUUCGCCACAUUCGCAUGUGCAUACGCAUUCGCACCAUUCGCAUGCGUAUGCGUUACACCUAUAGCUAAGCUAACGCUCGCGUUAAAAGUCACCUGGUCGCGUUUAGGGUCGCGUAAAACUCGCGAUUCAUUCGCCACAUUCGCAUAUGCAUACGUAUUCGCACCAGUCGCAGCCGCGUAUGCGUUACACCUAUAGCUAAGCUAACGCUCGCGUUAAAAGUCACCUGGUCGCGUUUAGGGUCGCGUAAAACUCGCGAUAUCAUUCGCCACAUUCGCAUAUGCAUACGCAUUCGCACCAGUCGCAUGCGUAUGCGUUACACCUAUAGCUAAGCUAACGCUCGCGUUAAAAGUCACCUGGUCGCGUUUAGGGUCGCGUAAAACUCGCGAUAUCAUUCGCCACAUUCGCAUAUGCAUACGUAUUCGCACCAGUCGCAGCCGCGUAUGCCAUUCGCUUGCGUAUGCGUUACACCUAUAGGUAAGGUAACGCUCGCGUUAAAAGUCACCUGGUCGCGUUUACGAUCGCGUAAAGUUUGCGUUAGUUUGCGUUAGUUGCUUUAGCUAACGCACUGCCAGCCAAAAUUACUCAGCUCGUUCGCAUGCGAAUAAAGAUGAUGUGCGUUAGGCCAUACGCACAAGCGAACCGGUGCGUUAUCAGUGCUUAAGAUCGCGUUACAUCGCGUUAGCGUCGCGUUAACUCGCGUUNNNNNNNNNNNNNNNNNNNNNNNNNNNNNNNNNNNNNNNNNNNNNNNNNNNNNNNNNNNNNNNNNNNNNNNNNNNNNAUGCGGAUAUAUGCCGUCGUUCGUGAAGAUGACAUCAGCGGAGGCGAGGAUUGAGCGCUUUAAUAAGAAGACAAUAGUGGCUGUAUUGUGGUACAUUUACAUGCGCUUAACAUUUGUGUGUCCAUUUUUUCUGACGUUAGACUGUUGGACCCUUUUCCAUGGUAAGAGUUGCUGGCUGAGUUGCAUCGGUCAUGUUAGGAUUUGCUAUGAAUUCGUACCUGUCAUUCAGGGAUAGUUCAAAUGUAUGAAGAAAGCAGUGAGUGCUGUGGUUCACAGCUGUGAACCUGCAGGUCAUGUGCAACGGCGGUGCACUUUGCACAUUGUACAGCUCGUGUACUGCUAUUGUAAAGCUUUUGUAUUGCACGGUUGGCCGUACAGUUCGCAGUCCCGCACGCAAGUCGCAGUCACUCGCGUAAAAUUCAAAUGGUAGCACAUGCAUUCGCAGGAUUCGCAGUCGCGUAUGCCAUUCGCAAUCCCUUGCGUUUGGCGAUAUGCUCGCGUUAAAAGCUCACCUGGUCGCGUUUAGGGUCGCGUAAAACUCGCGAAUUCAUUCGCCACAUUCGCAUGUUGUUGUUGUUACAUGGUCGUGGGUGCGUUCCCCGUACCUGCA